UAUAAAAAUAAAUUUAUUUUUAGUCCAUCAAGGUGUCUGAAGAUUUUAUGCCUAGGUAUCUCCAUAUCUAACUCGAUAAGGAAGGAAAAUAGGAUAAACAAUGCUGGUAAUAGCAGGAAAGUAAGUAUUUGAAUGAGAUGUCAAACUGAUAUUUCAUGGGAACCUAACUCAUUUUUUGGUAACUAAUAAUAAUCUUAUUUAAAUCAAUAGGUAAAACCUGUUUAGAAAUUAAAAAUGAGUUACGAUUUAAAGAAAAUUCAGAUGACUCAUUGUGAGUGCUAGUUCUCUUGUAGGAUGCCACUGGAAAUGUUGAAAUGAAAAAUAUUCAGCCGUCGGUCUUUGAAAUUUCCUGUGAUGUGUUUCAAUCUAGAUGCAAAGAACAUGGAAAAAUCAAAGUGCUCGAGUGGUUUAAAUACGUUUUGGAUGUUCCUGUUUAUAGACUAUAAUACUUUUCCAAUUAAAAUCCUCAGUUGUCAUGCAGAAGAAGGUUAAGCUCUACUUGAUUGCCAGUUUUACUGAAAAUGCUUAGUAUUUUACAGUAUCACCAAAUAUAUUUUGUUUAGCCAAGGUAUAGGAAAAAUAAAAUAAAUUGUAUAGGUUGACUUUUUUCUAAAAUGUCUUUAUUGGAUAGAAUGAAUGUUUAUACCUGAAAAAAGAUUC
RNAcentral lists this long non-coding RNA (660 nucleotides) under Pongo abelii (Sumatran orangutan). RNAcentral's name for it is "lincRNA". The record is from RNAcentral. Lineage: Eukaryota; Metazoa; Chordata; Mammalia; Primates; Hominidae.